This 432-nucleotide ribosomal RNA is filed under the name uncultured bacterium. Its description in RNAcentral is "partial 16S ribosomal RNA". It matches the Rfam family "Bacterial small subunit ribosomal RNA", at positions 29 to 507 of the family's 1533-position model. The record is from RNAcentral.
AACGAACGCUGGUGGCAUGCCUAACACAUGCAAGUCGAACGAGACCUUCGGGUCUAGUGGCGCACGGGUGCGUAACGCGUGGGAACCUGCCCUUAGGUUCGGAAUAACUCCCCGAAAGGGGUGCUAAUACCGGAUAAUGUCUUCGGACCAAAGAUUUAUCGCCUUUGGAUGGGCCCGCGUUGGAUUAGCUAGUUGGUAGGGUAAAAGCCUACCAAGGCGACGAUCCAUAGCUGGUCUGAGAGGAUGAUCAGCCACACUGGGACUGAGACCCGGCCCAGACUCCUACGGGAGGCGGCAGUGGGAAUAUUGGACAAUGGGCGAAAGCCUGAUCCAGCAAUGCCGCGUGAGUGAUGAAGGCCUUAGGGUUGUAAAGCUCUUUUACCCGGGAUGAUAAUGACAGUACCGGGAGAAUAAGCUCCGGCUAACUCCGUG